This 397-nucleotide ribosomal RNA is filed under the name uncultured bacterium. RNAcentral's name for it is "partial 16S ribosomal RNA". It matches the Rfam family "Bacterial small subunit ribosomal RNA", at positions 523 to 918 of the family's 1533-position model. The record is from RNAcentral.
AUACGUAGGUGGCGAGCGUUGUCCGGAUUUAUUGGGCGUAAAGCGAGCGCAGGCGGUCUCUUAAGUCUGAUGUGAAAGCCCCCGGCUCAACCGGGGAGGGUCAUUGGAAACUGGGAGACUUGAGUGCAGAAGAGGAGAGUGGAAUUCCAUGUGUAGCGGUGAAAUGCGUAGAUAUAUGGAGGAACACCAGUGGCGAAGGCGGCUCUCUGGUCUGUAACUGACGCUGAGGCUCGAAAGCGUGGGGAGCAAACAGGAUUAGAUACCCUGGUAGUCCACGCCGUAAACGAUGAGUGCUAAGUGUUGGAGGGUUUCCGCCCUUCAGUGCUGCAGCUAACGCAUUAAGCACUCCGCCUGGGGAGUACGGCCGCAAGGCUGAAACUCAAAGGAAUUGACGGGG